UACGUAGGGGGCUAGCGUUGUCCGGAAUCAUUGGGCGUAAAGAGCGCGUAGGCGGCCAGGCAAGUCCGGUGUGAAAGUCACAGGCUCAACAUGUGAAUGCCGCUGGAAACUGUCUGGCUAGAGUCCGGAAGGGGCGAGUGGAAUUCCUGGUGUAGCGGUGAAAUGCGCAGAUAUCAGGAGGAACACCUAUGGCGAAGGCAGCUCGCUGGGACGGUACUGACGCUGAGGCGCGAAAGCGUGGGGAGCGAACAGG
RNAcentral lists this ribosomal RNA (253 nucleotides) under uncultured bacterium. Its description in RNAcentral is "partial 16S ribosomal RNA". It matches the Rfam family "Bacterial small subunit ribosomal RNA", at positions 524 to 776 of the family's 1533-position model. The record is from RNAcentral.